This 169-nucleotide non-coding RNA is filed under the name uncultured Bolidomonas. Lineage: Eukaryota; Bolidophyceae. The record is from RNAcentral.
CAUCGAAGUUCGCUUCGCCGACAUUACCAACUUGGAGCAGGUCAAGUCGCUCAUCGACGAGAACACGAAGGCGAUCUACAUCGAGACUCUCUCGAACCCCUCCGGCACGAUCCCGGACUUUGACGGCAUCAAGCAGAUCGCCACCGAGGCUGUCGUCCCCGUCGUCUGC